GACGUAGGGUGCAAGCGUUGUCCGGAAUCACUGGGCGUAAAGAGCUCGUAGGCGGGGUCUUGCGUCGUGGAGUAAAUUUUUCUGCUUAACGGAGAAAUCUUCCGCGAUACGGGGACUCUUGAGGACAGGAGAGGAAAGCGGAAUUCCGAGUGUAGCGGUGAAAUGCGUAGAUAUUCGGAGGAACACCGGUGGCGAAGGCGGCUUUCUGGCCUGAUUCUGACGCUGAGGAGCGAAAGCCAGGGUAGCGAACGGG
Molecule: ribosomal RNA, 253 nt
Filed under: uncultured bacterium
Lineage: Bacteria
Description: partial 16S ribosomal RNA
Rfam family: Bacterial small subunit ribosomal RNA
Source: RNAcentral